RNAcentral lists this ribosomal RNA (448 nucleotides) under uncultured bacterium. RNAcentral describes it as "partial 16S ribosomal RNA". It matches the Rfam family "Bacterial small subunit ribosomal RNA", at positions 29 to 523 of the family's 1533-position model. The record is from RNAcentral.
AACGAACGCUGGCGGCAGGCCUCAAACAUGCAAGUCGAGCGCGCAGCAAUGGGAGCGGCUGACGGGUGAGUAUCGCGUGGGAAUGUACCUAGUGGUGCGGAACAACUCAUGGAAACGUGAGCUAAUACCGGAUGAGCCCGUAAGGGGAAAGAUGUAUCGCCAUUAGAUCAGCCCGCUACUGAUUAGGUUGUUGGUAGGGGAACGGCGUCACCAAGGCUACGAUCAGUGGCUGUUCGGAGAGUAAGAUCAGCCAUACUGGGACUGAGACACGGCCCAGACUCCUCCGGGAGGCGGCAUUGGGGAAUCUGCGAAAAUGGGCGCAAGCCUAAGCCAGCCAUCCCGGGUGAGUGAUGAAGGCCUUAGGGUUGUAAAGCUCUUUUACCCGGGAAGAUAAUGACUGUACCGGGAGAAUAAGCUCCGGCUAACUUCGUGCCAGCAGCCGCCGUAA